ACAACUGCCUCACAAGCAUCCCAGAGUCCAGUCAGCAGACAGCAGAAGAGACUGUCAGCAGACCACCUUGGAGGGGAUGCUUGGAGCUGCCUAACGUGUGAUUCAAAGAUGAAUUCCAUGUGUUUGGAGAAGAAGCCCUAGCCUCAACACAAAGGUUGGCCACAUUCCAGCCAAGGUAGCACGGAGUGAAGGCCCGUGGAGGGAGAGCUGGGCUUUUCUGAACUACUUCAGUACACCUUGCUGUGCCUUGGCCUGCCGUGUUUCAUCCCCAUGGCUGUCCUCAGUGAUGUGCAUGGUCACUGCUCCCUUCACCACUGAGAAGACGGGCACAGGACAGUCAGGGGAUGUGUCCAAGGUCCCACAGCAGGAAGGGCUGGAGCCAGAAUGUGGUCUGAGAGGCUGGAUAUACAAAGAGACAAUGGCAUGACCAUCUGUACAAAUGGAACUAUGGCCCACAACCUGCAGCAGCCAGCCCAGGAAGCCAACCCGUCACCUGCAGCAGCCAGGAUGGAUGCUGGCCUGCCCUCAGGUGCCCUUGUUGGAGAACAUGGGGGGCCAAAUUCCAAACGUGGCAAGAGAUAACAAAUGACUUGUCUGGUGGCUGAACCCUGAGCUGGGAGCACUGCCUGGAGAAAACUCUGAUACUCAAGUCUAGUUUUAUAUGGCUCCAAACGCCUCCACCAUGAGCUCAAGGCAGUGAGACUGACUGAAAAACCCUCUCUAUUACAGACCACAACAUUGAACCCAACAUCCCCCUAAGUAGGUUGUACUCACAUCAUUGGUCUUAUGGGGAAAUUUUAAGACCUCCCACUUGUAAGGUUUUAUAGCCCUCUAUGGAAUAUUGAAGAAAGAGUAAAAUGCAUCCAAAAAAAAAAAAAAACACUAAACUGGAUAAAUUCUAAGGCCUCUUCAGGUCUUAAGAUGGCCAUUUUCUAGGUCCUCUUGCUGCAGCAGUGAAAUCCACAAACACGGACAAGUCAGUCAGUUACGUGCCUUUCAGAGAAAACUUCUGACUUAGGAAUUCCAGCUAUUUGGCCCAACCCAUAUUAGAUUGUGUUAUAAAGACAUGGUAAAUUACAUCACGAAGGGAAGAGCAGAGGAAACAUAAUAUUCCUUCAAGACCCAUCAGCUCAGAUGUUAGCAGAACACCCCUAAGGAGGAAAACAAGAAAUUUUGGGUUUGAACUUGGUACUUCCCAGCAGCCCUGGGAGUGGGGUCAGAAGCCCUGCUGGGGGCCAAAGAACUCUGAGGAUCAAAGAUGUUGAGCAUCACCUUAGAGGCCAAAGAUCAGAACAGUGGAGGUGGCCUUUGAAGCCCAACCUGUCUUUCACCAGAGAGUGAGAACGGCCUCUAUUUCCAGGAAGCUCACUGCAGCAAUAAUCAUGAUGCUCUGAGCCUGACAAGGUGAGAAUUUACUUUCAGCACCUGCAAUAGUUUCCUAUUAAAGUUACAUAUGAAACCCUGCCGUCUUGUACCAACUAAUGUUCACACCAGCGUUCCUAUUUUCAAGAUAAAUUGCAAAAUAAAAACUCUUGUUUUCGUUAGCAAAAGAAAACUUCUUUAGGAGGAUAAAAGGGAGAUGAAGAAACAGAAAACACAUCAGCUCUCCAUCCAGAUUACAGAAAGCAGAAAACAUCCUGAAGUGAAUAACAUAGGAAUCGCUCUUUUUCCCCCCUGAGAUAGCAGGUUACUUAUGAGAAACAAGCUUGAAAUCUCUGCACCUGGACCAGCUUCCAGAGGCUUUUGUCCUGACCAGCUGGCUUUGGGGAAGUAAAGGAAACCAGAGAAGAAGAGGCUGAAAGAAUUGGUUUCCACCGUGACCUUUGAACCCUCGGGCGAGUUGUCAGCCUCACUGAGGAUGAGUGUACUCCAUAUCAAGUGAGGUCACUUUACUCGCAAGCUUGUUGUGAGGACUGAAUGAAACCUUUUCUUUUUUCUUGGAGUUUCAGAGCAACGUCCCUGAGCCCAGCCCCACACUGGCUUGAGCCCUGUCGUCGGUCAAGACACGGUGCUUUCUCCCCUCCCCUCUGCACUCCAGCUUACUCUGCAGUCAGGAGGUGGCACCACGAUCCCCUUUAAGACUUUGCCACUUGGGCCAGCUGCGCCCCUGUGAAAUUCCCUGUUUCUAUUGCAGGCCACAAGGACGAGCUGAGAAAUGGCUUCCAGUCACCAUCUAGAUUAGAAAGCCUAUAUUUCAAAUAUAGAUAUAUCAAUUAUGCCUGUAAAAAGACAUUAAAUCCCACAGGGCUGUAAUUCCUAGACUCUACGAAUUUCAUCUUGCACCAAAUUUUAUUAUUUCAUUUAUAAUUCGGAUUCUUCAAAUCUAAGAGUGCCUGGCUCAAAAUUAAAAUACCUACAACUAUGCCAAAA
RNAcentral lists this long non-coding RNA (2370 nucleotides) under Homo sapiens (human). RNAcentral describes it as "long intergenic non-protein coding RNA 1304". The record is from RNAcentral. Lineage: Eukaryota; Metazoa; Chordata; Mammalia; Primates; Hominidae.